RNAcentral lists this small RNA (556 nucleotides) under Malus domestica (apple). Its description in RNAcentral is "sRNA MD08G0122800". Lineage: Eukaryota; Viridiplantae; Streptophyta; Magnoliopsida; Rosales; Rosaceae. The record is from RNAcentral.
UCACAUCUCGCGUAGCAGCCUGAGCCCUGAGCCUUGAGCCUUGAGCCUCAUCUCUCUCUCGGUCUUCAAUCACUCUCUCAAACUCUCUGUCUCUCAUUCCCAACACCAUCUCUCGAUUUCUCUCUAUUUCUGCCUUCAUCCAAAAAAAAAAUUCACACGCCUCCACCUCGGCCAAGCUCGCGCCGCCGUCAAUUUCGAUGUCCUCUUCAGGGUACACGGUGGACUGGCAAGUGCUGGUACGUCUACAACCUCCUCAAGUACAAGUUCGAUCUCCAGUUCAAUAUCCCCAUCACCUACCCCGCCACCGCACCGGAACUCGAGCUCCCUCAGCUAGACAGCAAGACCCAAAAGAUGUAUAGAGGGGGGAUCUGCUUGACAGUGCAUUUCAAGCCGUUUUGACCCAAGAACUGGUGAUUUUUCUAUCUUGCUGUCUUUAAUUUGUUGUAUGUAUUUUAAGGACAAAGUAGGCAAGAAGAUGCAUUUUGGAGCAUUUUGGAGCAAAAUGGAGCUUGGAAUGCAUGUCACAUAUUUGGAACCAAGGUUUGGACGAAAUUGA